GAAAUGACUGGACGAUGACUAAUUAAACGAGAGACAACAAACCACUUAUCUUCCUUCAUGACUCAAUUGAUCGAGAGCCUUCCCAAGUUGCUUUUGCCGUUUUGUUGGUCACAAUGCAGAUGCUUUGAACCUUUGCACAACCGUGGGCAUGUGGCUCCCGUUAAAUAGCCACAAGAUACCCAUAAAAUUAGCACUUCCAAAGUUCUCAUUUACUCUGUCUUCCUCUCAAGUCUAACCGAAGCCCAACAAACCACCACCUCGGCCAUGGCAACCACCCUCGCCACCGACGUCCGCCUCUCCAUCGCGCACCAGACCCGCUUCGCCCUCCGUCUCGCCUCCACCAUCUCAUCCGCCCUAAGUCUGCUGCCAGCAAUGCCGCCUUCUCCCCGGUCUCCCUCCACUCCGCACUUAGCCUCCUCGACGCUGGCGCGGGCAGUGCCACUCGGGACCAACUCGUCGCCACACUCGGGACAGGCGAGGUCGAGGGACUCCACGCGCUCGCCGAGCAGGUGGUCCAGUUUGUGCUCGCCGACGCGUCCUCUGCUGGAGGUCCGCGUGUCGCCUUUGCCAAUGGCGUCUUCGUGGACGCGUCGCUGCUCCUCAAGCCAUCCUUCCAAGAGAUUGCAGUGUGCAAGUACAAGGCCGAGACCCAAUCCAUGGACUUCCAAACUAAGGUGACCCCCCCCCCCAACUUGGUUCUUACCAGAAAACAAAAACAAUGUAAAAGAAUUUUUAACGGACCUAAUUAUGUACAUUUGAGAGAAACAAUGACAUGCUUAACUAACUACUUCAGCCGCCUGUACAUGUUGGCAUGCCACUGCUUCACUCAGAGAGUUUGUUUUCUGCUGAUGUAAUAUAGAGGUCUAUAUUAAUCUUAUACACAUUCUAGAUUUGUAAUUUAGUGGUUAUCGUAUAUCACUGUUUUUUACACUAGAAGCUUCACCUUUGUAAGCAUAGUUCACACCUGCGACCUUGAACUGUGAAUGAUUUUGCUUAUCCUGUUAGUCAGCAUGAUUGGAGAUAACUAGUCUGUUACUUUUCUGAGCAUACCUAAUCUUUUGGGAGUGUAAUUCUCAUACCGUGCUAUCUAGGGAUAUGAAGGCUGGGGAAUUUGCUGAUGUUUUAUACUUUAAUUACGCUCUUCAGCGAAGUGAGAUUAUAAUUUUGGGAGUAUUUCCUGGAAACUUUGUCUCCAACGUAAGAAGAUGUACAAAAAAUCAGCUAAAGAUUAUAAUUUUGGGAAUAUUUCUGUAAAAGGUAUUGCAUAGUGGUGCUUCGAGAUGUUGUGAUGACCAUUUAAAUUUGUAUGCUCAUAUGAAUUGUUUUUCUAUCAUACGUCGUUGUAUGUGCUGAUUUUACUAUGUGUUUGAAAAUUUUACUAUAGAAAUGCUUUAUAAAAACGCUAGUAUGCUGCUUUGCAUUCUUAGCACAACUAUUAUAUUUUGUUCUUUGAAAGAAUUUUCUAUUGGUUUGUUCAAAGGUUGGUGGCACAGCAGUACCGUCAAACUAUUUUCAUUACAUAACUGACCUUUGUUUAUUUUUUCCAUGGCCCAGGCCGCUGAAGUUACUACUCAAGUGAACUCAUGGGUAGAGAAAGUCACGAGCGGUCGCAUCAAGGACAUUCUCCCCUCAGGAUCUAUUGACAAUACCACUAAACUUGUUCUUGCCAAUGCCCUUUAUUUCAAAGGAGCUUGGACAGAGCAGUUUGAUUCAUAUGGAACAAAAAACGACUACUUCUACCUUCUUGAUGGGAGCUCAGUUCAAACACCAUUCAUGUCCAGCAUGGAUGACCAAUACCUUUUGUCUUCUGAUGGGUUGAAGGUACUUAAGCUUCCUUACAAGCAAGGUGGGGACAAUAGGCAGUUCUCCAUGUAUAUCCUUCUUCCAGAAGCACCGGGUGGUCUCUCAAGCUUGGCCGAAAAAUUGAGUGCUGAACCAGACUUCCUGGAGCGGCAUAUCCCAAGGCAGAGGGUUGCACUUAGGCAAUUCAAGCUCCCCAAGUUCAAGAUAUCAUUUGGAAUUGAAGCAUCCGAUUUGCUCAAAUGUUUGGGCCUCCAGCUUCCAUUCGGCGAUGAAGCGGAUUUUUCGGAGAUGGUGGAUUCCCUAAUGCCACAAGGUCUUCGUGUCUCAUAUGUUUUCCACCAAGCGUUUGUGGAAGUGAACGAACAAGGAACUGAGGCUGCAGCAUCAACUACUAUUAAAAUGGUCCCGCAACAGGCAAGGCCGCCCUCGGUCAUGGAUUUCAUCGCGGAUCACCCUUUCCUCUUCCUUCUCCGGGAAGACAUCUCUGGUGUGGUCCUAUUCAUGGGUCAUGUGGUCAAUCCCCUCUUAUCUUCGUAAUGUGUUUGCUCUGAAAGUGUGUGUUGUCAGUUGCCCUCAGCCAUUACAUGUAAGGGAAGGGUUUCGACGGUCAGUCAUGUUACCGAUACAAUAAAUCCAAUAAAUGGUUCUCCUAAGAUAUCCAAUAAAUUGUCUUUUAAUAACUGCUUGCUUGUUGUGCAAAGGAAAACCAAUUGGACUAUUUUUCAUUAAUCAUUGUGGAUUUGUGGUAGUGCGGAUUUCUCAAAGAACUACUCAUGCCAAAAGAAAAAAUCUAAGUCAUCUUGAUUAGUACUAUCCGACAUGAAUCUCAUCGUCAUUAACAUCUAUAUUUCACAAAAAAAUGCCAAUGGCCACUUUUUGAGAUUGAAUAUGCUCUUCAAUUUCUCUUCUUCUUAGAUUUUUCAUAUCCUCGCUUAUCUUUAGAUACACUAUAACUCCUUGAGAUUGGAGCUCCCAGGGCCGAUUGUGUUGAUCGAUUUACAUGGCCCCACAUGAACGGACGUGACCUUCCACGCUACCCUCUUCCUUGCCGCAGAUCCUUCCUCAGUUUCUCUCCCUUCCGAGAAUCUAUUCCGACAUAGAGACAACGCCUCCAGCACUAUAGUUGGUGCGGCCGACCGCUUUCUGGCUCUCCUCUCCGAUUCCCUGCCUCAGAGCAUCUACAGCCUCAAACACGGUGUGUCUGCGGGCACUGAUCGGUCACUUCACAAAUUGGCAUCUACAUUCGUGUAUUUCAUAUCAGAUCUCCUAUAUCCAUACUAAACUAUGUAGCAUUGAUCAAACUACGUAUAUCAUCAAACGGACAAAAAAUGCACUAUACGUUCAUCAAAAGAUCAUCAACGGAUCUUCGAAAUACCGCCAAAGUUCACAUAGUGCACAUAAAUGACGGACAACUUUAAACUACGUCUAAAAACUGAGCGGAUCUUCAUCACUUCCUCGCCGGAACUUUCCCUUUUCGGUCGCCAGCACAGCUGUAGGCGUCGGCGGCUGGUGGAGGAUCGUCCGAGUCGUCGGACGAGGCGCCGUGGUCGUCACUAUCGUCAGAGGAGGAGCAGAGGAUGAUGAGGCGUUUGAGGCGCCGGACGGCCCGGUCCUGCUGCCGUUUGAGCUCCGCCAGCCGAGCCGCCUCCAAUGCUUUCUCCUCUGCCUCGCGCUCGAACUGCUCGAUGGCAAGCCGGAGCACCUUGGCGUUCUUCCAGCGGAGCUGCCGAUCAUCCGUCUCCGCUGUCGUAAGCGACCGGCAGUAGACCCAAGUGGGGAACCGCUCGUCCCCGUCGAGCUCCGCCGGAAACCCGCGGCGGCGGCGGACAUAUUACUCCUCCGCGUCCCUCUCCCUUGCCCGCUGCCUGCGGUGGCGGGCGUCGGACAGAUUUCUCCGCCGCGUCCCUCUUCCUUGCUCGCUGCCUGUCGUGGCGGGCGGCGCGCGCCUAGCGUGCAUGCCGCGCUCGCUGGGCGGGCACAAGUACCCACCGCUACCCAUGUGGGGGAGCAGCAGCCGACGAGGACAGGGGAUAGUGUGGGGGAGGCGCGGACUGCGCAGCCCUCGUGGCGCUGCGUGUGGGCCGGGAGGGGCCUGCGCCGGCGUCCUCGCUGCGCUGGAAGGGGAGAGGUGAGGCGGCAGAUCCGGAACUGACCUCCGUGUCCACCUUGGACCUCUCGACGGCAAUGCGGAGAGCCAGCACCUCGUCGAUGUUGACGUCAGAGUCGGAGCGGCUGCCGGAACUAGACAUGGUCGCCGGAGUCGUUUGACUGAAUCGAAUCUGGGAAAUCCGAGGAGGAGAAGAGAUGAAACGAGAGCGGAGCGAGGUAGGGUUUUCGAUUGGGGAUAUUUGUGGUGACGGCGUGGGGCCGGUGUGGACCGGGCUACCAUGGCGGACGCACCCGGGGCGCUCGAUAUCCGCCCUAGAUUUGAUCUGAAUAUGAGGGGAGUGAGACAGUCCAAGCAUUUGAGGCUUGUUUGAGGACACGUCUGGAUCAAAUUUUCAUGCUCGGUCAAUGAUCGCGCCAUCCGUCCGGACGUUUGAGACGGAUUUAGAAUGCGCGCCUGUAGAUGCUCUCGGCCUCAAUCUUUCGCCUCCAAACGUUCCCCCGCGACCAACCCAAUCCAGGCCUCGUUCACCGUCUAGCAGUCGUCUGCGCCGCCUCCCGCAAUUCCUCCGACCUCCGGUGCAACACUUCAUGUAACUUCCCUGGAUCAUCGCGCUUCCCGCGCCGUCUCGUCGACAGUCGACGUGCGCUUCUCAUGUUCAAUUUUUCAAGGAUAGUGUCACCGCUUUUUUCUCAUAGUGUUUGGCUGCUCGAUCACCUGGCCGCUGUUAAUCUCAUCUCGGUGAUGCAGCAAACAAAGGAGAGUGCGGGUCUGCAGUUCAAGGUCAGACUGCAGUGCAACUGUGCAAUGUAAGUUUGACUGACACGCUUGGAUCUGCCGCGUCUUUGUGCUGGGUGCUAGUCGCUGCCCUGCUAGAUGCAUGGAAGAGUUGCAUGUAUACACACCGGUGUUGAGCGUUGGUGGCCUCAUUGGUGACUGUCGUGGUUCUAAGUCUGACAAUAGAAUGGGGGGUAAGUAUGGAAAGGCAAGGUCCUAGCUAUGGAGUAGUUGUACACACGGGUGUUUAGCGAGUUUAGACCCUUCUCUGAGGAAGUAACAGCCCUACGUCUCGGAGCCCGGAGGCGGUCGACUGAUCUCUAUGUAUAUGAGUUACAGAAGUGCGAACCUUUCUACCAGUGGAGGGGGGUGGCUUAUAUAGAGGACGCCAGGACCCCAGCCAGCCCACAUAGAGGAGGGUUAAAGUACAUUAAGGCUGGGCGUUACUGGUAACGCCCUAUAUAAAGUGUCAUCAUGACCAUUAAGACUAUUUAAUUACAGACCGUUUGGAUGCAGAGUAGAUCCUGAACUUCCGAUAGUCGAGUGCGUCUUCAUGGUCGAGUGUCUUCUAGCUAGUCGGGUGGAGUCUCCCUUGGUAGAGUGGAGCUUCUUUUGGUCGACCGGAAGGUAGCUUCGUAUGAUAAUGUCCUUUGGCAUGGUAUCCUAGAUAGGUCCAUGACCCUAACCUAGGUACAUAACCUCAUCAUUAGCCCCCGAAUGGAUCGAGGUUCGAGUGAGGAAGGAGUUGACGAUUUUCUCCGACUUAUUUACUGUACUUUGAUUGUGUCGUAUCUUGGAUCGGCGAUUCUUCUUUCGGCGCUGGCGUCGACUUUUACUUCAGUCGCCUUGAUCCAUUCUUAUCUUUUGUCGAGUGAACUUUUGAACUCCGGUGAACUUACGAGCGACGGAUCGCGGGAAGGAUAUCGUCUGACAGAUUGAUCUGCUGUUAGCGGAUUUUGCGGGAUCUGAAAUUUGGGAAGCGCACGAAGCGGGGCAAUCCGCGGCAAUCGGGCGGGAUAAGGCAUGGACGCCUUGAUUUCCGCGUCGCCUUUUUCGCCACGUAUCGUACGUGUGCGACUGUUUCGGGAUGUGACAGAUCUGCUCGGACCCACUCGUCAGCCACUCGGAAGCGCCCUUAUAUAAAGCGUCGGGGAAGAGUUUUUGAACAGUGCCUCCCCAUUCUCCUCUCUUCCCUCUCUGCCUCCGCCCACGGCGCCUGCUCCUAGCUCCGCCUUAUCCACCUCUCGAGCGCUUCGCCGACGAUAAUGGUGAAGGAGAAGACGGCGGUUCUAGAGCGCGCGAAGAAGGUGACGGCGACGGGGCAAGCGAAGGGGAGACCGUCCAGUCGGGGCGGAUCUUCGUCGAGGUCCCGCCUGCCGAAGGGUUGGGUCCAAGGGGAUUGGAUCCGCUCGACCAUCACUGGGAAGGACCUCGACGACCUGGCCAAUGAGGGACUGAUCCCCCACGGGUCAGCAAGGCCCCCGGGGUCCGAGUGUCAACCGCAGCCGCAGGAGGGUGAGCGCGUUCUCUUAGCCACUCACGUAGAUCGUGGUUUUUCUCUGCCGCCGAGUGUGUUCUUCCGUGGGUUUCUGAAAUUCUUUGGGGCGCAACUCCACCAUUUCAAUCCCAAUUCCAUCGCCUAUCUUGCUGCCUUUGUGUCCAUGUGCGAGAACUUCCUGGGUUGUCGACCGCACUGGGGUCUCUUCAAGCACAUAUUCACCUGUCGGUCGCAGACCGUAAAAAAGGCGAGCUCGGGUGAUGAGAGGACCAAGGUUAUUCAGAUGUGCGGGGGUCUUGGGAUUCAGUUGAGGAAUAAGAGCACUUUCCCGGCCAUGACCCUUCCUGAGUCGGUCAGAGGGUGGCAGUCGACUUGAUUCUACUGCCAAGACGAGUCGACGCCGGGGCAGUCGACUGGUCUCCCUCCGUUCUCCAUGGACCGAGUGGUCAAACCGUCUUCUCUGAAGGUGCUUCCUGAGGAGAAAGCCGAGGUAAAAAUGUUGGUGGAGCGCAUGGUCCAACUCGUUCGGGACGGAGUGACGGGCAUGGAUCUUCUGAAAGUAUUCCUUAGGCGGCGCAUCCAACCGCUCCAGUAUCGAGGCCACCCGAUGUGGUUGUACUGCGGUACCGAAGACACCACUCGGGUCCAUCCAGAGGCAGUCGACGACGCCACGCUGGAGAGGUGGGUGACCUCCAUCACAGGGAACAAGGACAACCGUCGAGGAGUGAGGAGGAUCCCGCCACUCGACUGUACCUAUACGCCGGACAAGGUAUGGCCGCUUAUCUCCGAGUGUAAUUUUGUUUUAUCCAUUCUGCUUUGCCACAAAUUGGUCGAUUGAUCUUUGUUUUGCUCUGUUGUCUGAUAGGCCACCACUGAAUUGUACUCGAUUCCCAAUGGGGCGCAGACGCCGACUGAGGAGGAGGAAGGAAGCGGGGGCGAAAGCCCGGAGGAGUGGGAUUCAGAUGUCGACGACGACGAUGAGGGUGAUGACUCUAGUGAGGAGGAAGAAGAGGAGGAAGAGGAGGAAGUUGCACCUCCCCGCUCGGAAAGACGCUCGAAGCUUGCCCAUGAUCCAGCGACUGAGCGGGGUAAGGGGGUCGCAACCGCUUCUCAGUCGACCAAGCGCCCUCGGACCACUUCUCCGGCGCCGACUGAGAAGGCUCCGAAGCAAUCUCGAGUGGCACCGUCGAAGCCUGCAAAGGUCUUGCCGAAGAUGAAGAUGGUGAUCCCCACUAUCUCAGGGUAAUGGUAGUUUUGAGCUUUCCCUGUUUCAUGAACUUGUUCUUGGUCGACUCAUGGUCCAAUCGACUGACUUUUGGAACUGCAGCGUUGCUACUUCCGACACUUCGGCGAGAGCCGAAGACCACGAGAUGGAGGAUGCUGCAACCUCGAACCCUGGUAUGACUCCUGCGUUGCCGUUUUCAGUCGACUGACUCAUUGUCUCUAAUUUUUAUUCUUUCUGCAGUUUCAUCUAACAUUGUUAUUGACCUUCCUGACGACGACGAUGAAUAACCACCACGGCCGAGGAAAAGCAAGAAAACGUCGGCUGGCAAGGCGACUCAGGAUGUGCCGGCACCCGAGACGUUAGUCGUGGAGGGAGACAAUGUCACUCGACCCACCGUAACCUUCGCGGUGCCGUUGAUGAGUGCUCGCCCUUCAUCGUCGAGUGCUGCUCAACCCUCGCUUUUCUCCACCUACCCCGUUCCAGAAGACCAAGCCAGUGCUGCCAAAGAAGCGAUACGCCAGGCGGGGGUCAUGAUGGAGCAAGUGAAGGCAAUUCGAGAAGCCAGCCAGGCAGCCUAUGACGCCAGUUCGGCACUCCAGAGUAAUGUUCAGGUCAGUCGGUCACUGCCUGUUCUUCUUUCUGAAAUUCCUAGAGUCUGUCCUACACCCAGUGGGUGUGUGUCGAUUAAAAUUCCGGGUUAGUGGGGGCACGCUGAGUGCACCCACUGGGUGUAGUCCCCAAGGCUAUGGUGGACUGCUGGCAGUCGACCAUAGUCUUAAUGCUUUGAGUUUUUCUUUACUCGACAAGGUCGAAUAGAUUCAUAGACCGGUGGGGGCACGCUGAGUGCACCCACUGGGUGUAGUCCCCGAGACUGUGGUCGACUGCUGGCAGUUGACUAUAGUCUAAAGAACAUUGCCUCUCUUUUUUUUGUUGGUCGACUAGUCGACUCUUGAUGAAACUAGUGGGGGCACGCUGAGUGCACCCACUGGGUGUAGUCCCCGAGACUAUGGUCGAAUGUUUGCAUUCGACCGUAGUCUUAGAAACGCUAUGAUUUUUCCUUACUCACUCGGAAGUGAAUUUUCUUUGACGUCUGUCGAUUGAUUCUUCGUAGAAAUCAUGUGACCUUGUGGCUCGUUAUACUGAGUUGGAGAACAAACACAUUCAGCUCGAGCUCGAUCUGAAACUGGCCCAAGAGACCUUGACGAAGGCGAAGGAGGAAGCUAAAGGUAUGCUUGGUGAGGCCUUUGACGACUGCCUUUGCCUCUCACUUGUUUCCGAAUCUGAUCUCACUGUAACUUUGUAGGCAAAGUGAUGGACGCCCUGAAGAAACAAGAGCUUGACUUGGCUGAGAUGCAAAAGACUGCUUUAGAGAAGACCAGGCUAGCGGAUGAGAAGCUGGCUUCAGUGACUAAGCUUGAAGAAGAAAACACCAAUCUGAAAGCUGCUCUUGAUGCUGCCAACCAGGAGGUCACUUAACUGAAAAGCGACAAGACCACCCUGAAUGACAAGGCCAGUGAGUUGAAGAGAAAGAAGAAUGAUCUAGAGGCUUAUCUGGGUGGACUCGCCAAGAAGUUGUUCCUCAUGCUUGAAGGUAAUCCUUUGUAUCGAACAAAUAUUUUAAUUGUAACCUCUGACUGUUUGUCUUGACUCGGUGGUUGUGCUUGCAGAAUUUUGUCAGAACUUUGAAGAGGAGACUGGUCGACUGGAAGUGAACCUGGACCCCAUCAACUCUCCUGUGAAAGAUGAAGUUGCCAUGAACAUGCUCCGACUUGAAUCUCGUGUUGCUGCUAUCAUCGAUUAUCUCGCAAGGCUGAAGGUCGCAACUUCCUGCAUCGACACAACACUCUGGCCAAGAGAGACACUCCAGAACGACCUCGAGUCUCUGAUGACUCGACUGAACGAGGUCCCAAGUCGAGUGCAGGAGUGGAAGAAGUCUUCGGCCAGGUGUGGCGCGGAUGUUGCUCUAUCUCUGGUCCGCGUUCACUGCAAGGAUGCAUGAGAGGACAAGCUGGUGGCUCUCAGGGUGGCCAACACCAAGAAGCACGAUUUCAGAUCCUUCAUGGAGACCUUCAUUGCCGCUGCCACUCGGAUUGCAGAUGGAAUCGAUCUGGACGAGUUUGUGGCACCUUCCAGCCCUCCACAGGAGGGGUAAAAAACUUUUGAGCUUGAUACUUUAAAUUUGCCUCGGUAUGCCGAGUGAGUUUUGUAACCGACAAACCUUAACAGGCCUAGCGCCUGAGCACUUUCGGUUCCGCUAGGUGUUAUCCAAACUUGGGUUCGUCGCUGAAUAUGUUUGCAUUUGGUUUGAGGCGUCUUUUGCAGGUUAAAGCGAAGCGCUUAUUGCCAUCGACUUGUCCCCCAAUUCACUUAGGCGGGCACUGGGCUGCAGCUAAGUCCCCGAGCGAGAGGUUUUCCCUCCACUCGGUAGGAUUUCAGACACUUAGGCGAGCACUGGGCCGCAGCUAAGCCCCCGAGUGGGAGGUCUGCUCUCCACUCGGUAGGAUUUCAGAAACUUAGGCGAGCACUGGGCUGCAGCUAAGCCCCCGAGUGGGAGGUCUGCUCUCCACUCAGUAGGAUUUCAAACACUUAGGCGAGCACUGGGCUGCAGCUAAGCCCCCGAGUGGGAGGUCUGCUCUCCACUCGGUAGGAUUUCAGACACUUAGGCGAGCACUGGGCUGCAGCUAAGCCCCCGAGUGGGAGGUCUACUCUCCACUCGGUAGGAUUUCAGACNNNNNNNNNNNNNNNNNNNNNNNNNNNNNNNNNNNNNNNNNNNNNNNNNNNNNNNNNNNNNNNNNNNNNNNNNNNNNNNNNNNNNNNNNNNNNNNNNNNNNNNNNNNNNNNNNNNNNNNNNNNNNNNNNNNNNNNNNNNNNNNNNNNNNNNNNNNNNNNNNNNNNNNNNNNNNNNNNNNNNNNNNNNNNNNNNNNNNNNNNNNNNNNNNNNNNNNNNNNNNNNNNNNNNNNNNNNNNNNNNNNNNNNNNNNNNNNNNNNNNNNNNNNNNNNNNNNNNNNNNNNNNNNNNNNNNNNNNNNNNNNNNNNNNNNNNNNNNNNNNNNNNNNNNNNNNNNNNNNNNNNNNNNNNNNNNNNNNNNNNNNNNNNNNNNNNNNNNNNNNNNNNNNNNNNNNNNNNNNNUAAGCCCCCGAGUGGGAGGUCUGCUCUCCACUCGGUAGGAUUUCAGACACUUAGGCGAGCACUGGGCUGCAGCUAAGCCCCCGAGUGGGAGGUCUGCUCUCCACUCGGUAGGAUUUCAGAAACUUAGGCGAGCACUGGGCUGCAGCUAAGCCCCCGAGUGGGAGGUCUGCUCUCCACUCGGUAGGAUUUCAAACACUUAGGCGAGCACUGGGCUGCAGCUAAGCCCCCGAGUGGGAGGUCUGCUCUCCACUCGGUAGGAUUUUUGAAUUGGUGGCGCAACUCGGAAGGAGAGGGUAGCAGUCGACCUGCACCUCGUCCUCCUUGCGGAACGCAUGUUGUACUUGUACUUAGGCGAGUUCUUGGACUGCAGCUAGGCCUCCGAGUGGAAGGCUGGCUUACCACUCGGUAGGAUUUUAUUUAUCUUAGGCGAGUACUUGGACUGCAGCUAAGCCUCCGAGUGGAAGGCUGGCUUACCACUCGGUAGGAUUUUAUUUAUCUUAGGCGAGUACUUGGACUGCAGCUAAGCCUCCGAGUGGAAGGCUGGCUUACCACUCGGUAGGAUUUUAUUUAUCUUAGGCGAGUACUUGGACUGCAGCUAAGCCUCCGAGUGGAAGGCUGGCUUACCACUCAGUAGGAUUUUAUUUAUCUUAGGCGAAACGGAUUUUACAGCUAAGCCUUCGUGUGGGAGACUGACUCACCACUCGGUUAGGAUUUGUUUUUACAGACUUAGGCGAAUCGGAUUCGCAGCUAAGCCACCCACUGGGGGAUUGUUUUAUAUGGACAAAAGUAAUAACAAUCACUGGGAAAACUAUAAAGCUCUUGUCUUUGAUAAAUAAACUACAGGAGUACUUUUAUUACAACUCAUCCGAGUGAAUACCUAAGUGUAAAAGGGGCGGAGAAGCUCCGCGUUCCAAGCUCGGGGCUCGUCAAUCUGAUGCUUGACAUUGUAAAGACGGUAUGCUCCAUUGUGGAGAACCUUGGUGACCAUGAAGGGACCUUCCCAAGAAGGAGCAAGCUUGUGUGGUUUCUGCUGGUCCACUCGGAGAACUAAAUCUCCUUCCUGGAAGGCUCGACUCUUCAUGUUUUUGGCGUGGAAGCGACGCAAGUCUUGUUGAUAAAUGGUCGAUCUGAUCAGAGCCAUCUCUCUUUCUUCCUCUAAAAGGUCGACUGCGUCCUGCCGCGCUUGUUCUGCUUCAGCUUCGGUGUAGAGCUCGACUCGGGGAGCGUUGUGGAGAAGAUCACUCGGCAAGACUGCUUCAGCUCCGUAGACCAAGAAGAAUGGAGUUCUUCCAGUCGACCGGUUGGGUGUGGUCCUUAACCCCCAAAGCACCGAGGGAAGUUCGUCAACCCAUGCACCAGCCGCAUGCUUGAGAUCACGCAUCAAACGGGGCUUCAACCCUUUGAGAAUUAAACCGUUGGCUCAUUCUGCCUGUCCAUUCGUCUGCGGAUGGGCAACUGAAGCAUAGUCGACUCGCGUGCCUUGAGACGUGCAGAAAGCUCUGAAUUCUUCAGAAUCGAAGUUUGACCCGUUAUCAGUGAUGAUGUUGUGCGGGACUCCAUAUCUAAAUAUCAGUUCUCGGAUGAAGCUGACAGCGGUACCAGCAUCGAGGUUCUUGAUGGGUUUGGCCUUAAUCCACUUGGUAAACUUGUCGACUGCUACCAGCACAUGUGUGAAACCGCUUCUUCCUGUUCUCAAUGGGCCAACCAUAUCCAAACCCCAUACAACAAAGGGCCAGACAAGUGGUAUGGUCUUUAAGGCUGAGGCAGGCUUGUGUGACAUAUUGGAGUAAAAUUGACAUCCCUCACACUUGUCGACUAUCUCCUUCGCCAUUUCAUUCGCUCUGGGCCAAUAAAAACCAGCUCGGUAUGCUUUGGCCACGAUGGUCCGAGAAGACGCAUGAUGGCCACAGGUCCCCGAGUGGAUGUCAUUGAGAAUCAUUCGACCUUCCUCCGGUGUUAUGCAUUUCUGGCUGACUCCAGUCGCACUUUCUCUGUACAACUGACCUCUCAUGACGGUGAAGGCUUUGGACCGGCGGACGAUCUCUCGAGCUUCUUCUUCAUUCUCGGGGAGUUCCUUCCUCAAAAUAUAGGCGAUGUAGGGCACUGUCCAAUCGGGAGUGAUGACCAAAACUUCCAUGAUCAAGUCGACCACCGCUGGGACCUCGACUUCAGUCGGAUCUGUGGCGCUUUUAGGCUGCGGGGCUUCUGCAGUGAAAGGAUCCUCUUGAACCGAUGGCGUGUAGACAUGUUCCAAAAACACGCCACUCGGAAUGGCUUCCCUCUUGGAACCUAUCUUUGCCAAGUCAUCGGCUGCUUGAUUUUUCAGUCGGGGAACGUGAUGGAGUUCUAACCCUUCGAAUUUCUUUUCAAGCUUCCUCACUGCAUUGCAGUAUCUAGUCAUGGAUGGGCUUCUCACGUCCCACUCCUUCAUCACCUGAUUGACCACCAAAUCUGAGUCGCCGUAAACCAUAAGGCGACGGACGCUGAGUGAAAUGUCCAUGCGCAACCCAUACAACAGUGCUUCAUAUUCUGCUUCAUUGUUGGAGGAAUCAAAGUGGAUCUGGAGCACAUAUCUGAGCUUAUCUCCUCGGGGAGAAACCAAAACUACCCCAGCACCAGAACCAUUUAACAUCUUAGAGCCAUCAAAGAACAUGGUCCAAUGCUCCGAGUGAACUUGAGUCGGCUGCUGCUGUUCAAUCCACUCGGCAAGGAAAUCUGCUAUAGCCUGGGACUUAAUGGCUUUCUUUGCCUCGAAUUUGAUAUCAAGGGGAAGGAGUUCAAUCGCCCAUUUAGCCACUCGACCAGUUGCAUCUCUGUUGUGCAGAAUCUCCGACAAUGGUGCGUCGCUGACGACUAUAAUGUCAUGAUCAGAGAAAUAAUGAGCAACCUUCUUCAUGGUCAUGUAGAUCCCAUAUACGAGCUUCUGAUAAUGAGGAUAUCUUUGCUUCGAUCGGGUCAAAACUUUAGAGAGAUAAUACACUGGGCGCUGAACUUUGAAGGCUUUCCCUUCUACUUCCCGCUCGACCGUAAGUAUUGUACUGACGACUUGUCCUGUGGCUGCAAUAUAAAGCAACAGUGGCUCUUUACUGAUUGGAGCGGCAAGCACCGGCUAGGUGGAGAGCAGAGUUUUUAACUCGGCAAACGCUGCAUCAGCUUUUGGAGUCCACUCGAACUUGUCUGCCUUCUUCAUCAGUCGGUAAAGGGGCAACGCCUUUUCACCGAGGCGAGAGAUGAAUCGACUUAACGCGGCCAGGCAUCCAGUAAGCUUCUGGACAUCGUGCACACGCACAGGGCGUUUCAUUCGGAGUAUGGUGCCAACUUUUUCUGGGUUAGCAUCGAUUCCUCGUUCCGAAACGAGAAAACCGAGUAACUUCCCACCAGGUACUCCGAAUGUGCACUUUGAAGGAUUGAGCUUGAUAUCAUACCUCCUGAGAUUGGCAAAUGUUUCAGCUAAGUUAGUCAACAGGUCGGAACCCUUUCGCGACUUGACCACGAUAUCAUCCAUGUAUGCUUCCACAUUCCAACUAAUUUGAGUGAGUAAACACUUUUGAAUCAUUCUCAUGAAUGUGGCUCCGGCAUUCUUGAGGCCGAAAGGCAUGGUGAUAUAGCAGAAGCACCCGAAUGGGGUGAUGAAAGCUGUUUUGAUUUCAUCGGGCCCAUACAGACGGAUCUGAUGAUACCCGGAAUAAGCGUCCAGAAAAGACAAUCUCUCGCACCCUGCGGUCGAGUCGACAAUUUGGUCGACGCGAGGGAGAGGAAAAUGAUCUUUCGGGUAGGCCUGAUUGAUAUGUUUGAAAUCAAUGCACAUACGAAGGGAAUUGUCCUUUUUGCGAACCAUAACGACAUUGGCGAGCCACUCGGAGUGGUAUAUCUCUCGGAUGAACUCUGCUGCAAGGAGUCGAGCCACCUCUUCGCCAAUGGCUUUUUUGUUCUGAACAGCGGACCGUCGAAGAUGUUCUUUAACGAGUUUUGCCUUUGAAUCGACUCUAAGGCGAUGCUCAGCCAGUCCCCUGGGAACACCUGGCAUGUCAGCUGGCUUCCAUGCGAAGAUGUCCCAGUUCUCACGGAGGAACUGGAUGAGCGCUUCUUCCUAUUUAGAGUCGGGUGUAGUGGAAAUAUGGGUCGGAGCUGCAUUGGGGUCAGUCGGGUGGAUGUGAACUGGCUUCGUCUCACCGGACGACUGAAAUGCUGACUCUGUGGCGGGCUUCUUGGCUCGCAGUAAAUCACUCGGAUCUGCGUUCUUCUUGUACCCCUCUAGCUCUAUCACUGUUAUCUGGUCAUCCGCAAUCUUUGAGCCUUUCUGGAAACACUCUUCUGCUUUCUUCCGGUUACCAGUGACGGUGAUCACGCCUUUGGGGCCAGGCAUCUUUAACUUGAGGUACACGUAACAUGGUCGAUCCAUGAAGCGGGCGUAGGCUGGUCUUCCCAAGAUAGUGUGGUAGGCGCUCUGGAAAUCCACGAUUUCAAAUGUCAGCUUCUCUUUGCGGAAAUGCUUCGAGUCACCGAACACCACAUCCAGAGCUAUUUGGCCGAGUGACUCAGCCUUCUUUCCUGGGAUGACUCCGUGAAAACUCAUGUUGCUGGAACUGAGCCUGGACAUCGGAAUGCCCAUUCCCUUGAGCGUCUCUGCAUAUAGUAUGUUCAACCCGCUGCCGCCAUUCAUCAAUACCUUCGUCAGUCGAGUGCCUUCGACGACCGGGUCGGCCACCAGUGCUUGCCUCCCAGGGGUGGCAAUAUGAGUAGGAUGGUCCGACUGGUCGAAAGUAAUGGGAGUUUGCGACCAUCUCAGAUAGUUUGGUGUUGCUGGUGCGACCAUAUUGACUUCACGGUUGAUCACUUUCAGUCGACUUUUGCUCUCUACAUCAGCAAAAAUCAUCAGAGUGAAGUUGACAUGAGGGUACUCACCAUCACUGUCCUGCUUGUCCUCAGCCUUGUCUGACUCCUUCUCUUUGUCCUUCAGCUGUUUCCCUUGGAACUGCUGGAUUAAGAGCCGGCACUGGCGAGUGGUAUGCUUUGGGUAGAUGAAGUUACCCUCUUCGUCUUUCUUCGUGUGGAUAUGACACGGCAGGUCCAUCACAUCAUUACCCUCCUUAUCUUUUACCUUCUUGGGGUUCCAAGAUCCUUUGGGCUUCCCUUUAAAUUUGCCCUGUGUCACGGCUAGAGCCUCUCCAGGAGCUGCUGGCUCGGCCUUCCGCUUCUGCUUCCGACUGGAGUUUCCUUUAUCCGACUAACUCGGCUUGUACUUGCCGCUCCGGAGUCGGUCCUCUUCUUCGCCGUUGGCGUACUUGGUGGCUAUUUCCAUCAUCCGACUCAGGGUCAUGUCUCCAGUUCGACCAAACUUCAGGCUCAACUCUUUGUUCUUGACGCCAUCUUUGAAGGCGCAAACCGCUUGAUGGUCCGACACAUUCUCUACAGUGUGAUGCAAAGUGAUCCACCUCUGGAUGUAAUCCCUCAGUGUUUCACUCGACUUUUGUACACAAACUUGUAGCUCAGUUAAUCCAGCAGGUCGCUUGCAAGUUCCCUCAAACGUCCUGACGAACACUCGAGAAAGAUCUACCCAGGUGUAAAUGUUGCUGGGAGCUAACUGAUUCAACCAUGCCCUGGCUGAACCUCCUAGAAUAAGUGGCAAAUGUUUCAUGGCCACCUCAUCAUUACCGCCACCAAUCUGAACAGCCACUCGGUAGUCUUCGAGCCAAGUUUCAGGCUUAGACUCUCCGGUGAACUUAUUCACCCCAUUCGCCAACCUGAAGUUGGGGGGUAUCACUGCGGUUCUGAUCGCUCUGCGAAAACAUUCUGGACCUGAAACAUGGACUCGGCUGCUUGUGGGCACAUCUCUGUCAUGACCACCUCUAUGAGCUCUGUUUCAGUCGACCAAACCUUGCACGAUGAUGGAUCUCGCGUCAAAGCCUGGCUCUCUGGGGUCGACUGGAGCUCUCUGCCCAACACUGAGCUGGCUUCUAUCAUCUUGCUGCCGAUGGGCGUUAGACCCACUUCUCGGAGGAGGAGUGGGCACUCGACGCCUGUCAUCACGAUCAAAUCGAUCAUCAUAGUGGUCCCGCCGGCCUUCACGUCCCACGCGCCUCGGAGGCGACCUUGGACUGUCAGCUGACUGAAUAGUAUUCGCAGCAACAGAUCGACUGUGAAUCCUGUUAGGUGACUGUGACACAGCUGAAUUCUGAUCUCCUGCUGCCCGGAGCAAAUCUCUGAUCUGCAUCAAGCCUCUUCCAGCCUCUGACUGAGAGGGCUGAAUUGACUCUGCUAUGCGGGCUGCAGCUGCCAAAUUCUGAAUUGGGGUUCGAUAUACCUGAGUUGGUUGCGGAAAGAGCUGACGUCGAUUGGAGUUAGUCGCUCGUUGACGCGCAUGCUCGUCGAGUGCUCGCUGAAGGUUCUCCAGUCGAGUGUGUUCAGCCAGGUUGGCUAAACGCGCCUCUUCCAGGGCACGAGCCUCAGGAGUUUCUCCUGCAAUGGGAGUAUGCAGGGCAUCCAUGUUCUGGCGGCGAAGUUCUUCCCUCUGCUGGGAAGUGAGCGGCUCGGGUUGGUACUCUUCAUGGGCUUGAGCAGGGUCAUCCUCGUCGUCCAUCCCGUCGCCACGGGGGAAACCGGGAGGACUACGGGGCCCAUUGACCAUCAGGACCUCCGCCGUCGGAUCACUGCUAUCGCACUCGGAUGCAGCCUCUACAGAGCCAGUCGACAGGUCGAAUAGGCCGUAGAGAGAUCCGUCAGGCUCAAUCGCCGCGACUUGGGUGGUGGCCGAUUGGCGAGCCACUGCGUGUCUCACCCAUCGCUGGAGCCUCAACCGACCGGAGCGCUUGCGCUGGCGGGAGACAGGGAGGGAGGACGGCGCAGGAGUCGACCGGUAUGGGGUCGACGGCUGCCGCAGCAAGACGCUGCGGACACACACCCGAAAGUGCAUCGCCCCGCGGACGGGGAGCGCUCCGAUGUCGAGUGGUGCCUCCUGGAGCCAAGCGGAGUCGUCGGCGAUGAAAGUGAGCGCACCGAGACGGAUCUCGUGGCCCUCGACCAGAGCUCUGCCAGAAACCAUGAUGAAGGCGAUCGGACAAAUUGCAACUUCUCCAAAAAAGUCGCUAAGACACCUGCCCCACGGUGGGCGCCAACUGUCGUGGUUCUAAGUCUGACAGUAGAAUGGGGGGUAAGUAUGGAAAGGCAAGGUCCUAGCUAUGGAGUAGUUGUACACACGGGUGUUUAGCGAGUUCAGGCCCUUCUCUGAGGAAGUAACAGCCCUACGUCUCGGAGCCCGGAGGCGGUCGACUGAUCUCUGUGUAUAUGAGUUACAGGGGUGCGAAACUUUCUACCAGUGGAGGGGGGUGGCUUAUAUAGAGGACGCCAGGACCCCAGCCAGCCCACGUAGGGGGGGUAAAAGUACAUUAAGGCUGGGCGUUAUUGGUAACGCCCUACAUAAAGUGUCAUCAUGACCAUUAAGACUAUUUAAUUACAAACCGUUUGGAUGCAGAGUAGAUCCUGAACUUCCGAUAGUCGAGUGCGUCUUCAUGGUCGAGUGUCUUCUAGCCGGUCGAGUGGAGUCUCCCUUGGUCGAGUGGAGCUUCUUUUGGUCGACUGGAAGGUAGCUUCAUAUGAUAAUGUCCUUGGGCAUGGUAUCCUAGAUAGGUCCAUGACCCUACCCUAGGUACAUAACCUCAUCAGUGACCCCGUGGACGAAAAAGGUCUGAACAUUUUUCUGAUUUGCACACACCCUGUCGAUCCUGGACACACCAGAAAAGGCCAAUCUUUUUUAUUUAGCUGCCUAUGUUUUUACACAAAACUAUGAAGAACAUAGAGGGCAGCUUUGGGUCACGGAAAAAACUUAUACUGUGUGCAAAAGAAAUCAUGAUUUCAGCAGCACUGAAUAUGUACAGCAAAGGUCGAAACAAUUUAUCAAAAAAUGUGUCUGUGUUUCAUUCUUCCGCAAUACAAUAAGAAGUCCACCACUAAAGCUUUUUCCUCCUCCACAAGUAAAGUCCCUUAUCCUCCGGUCGGCGUCGCCGUCGGUCCGCCCCAUCUCUGAUGGCCUCUGGGCCAUGGAGUCGCCGAGGAUCCCAGCCCUUGUUCUCCUCCUUGUUAGAUUUAGCGUCUUGGUUGGGGUUGGGUGGAGGCGGCGAUGUCCCUUAAUAGGAAUAAUGUAUGAUUGGUUAUCUUUGUAAGUAUCUUCGAGUUAUCAGUUUGGUUUGGCCUACUAGAUUUAUCUUUCUUGCAAUGUUAGAAGUGCUUAGCUUUGGGUUCAAUCUUGCGGUGUCCUUUCCCAGUGACAGCAGGGGCAGCAAGGCACGUAUUGUAUUGUUGUCAUCGAGGAUAAAAAGAUGGGGUUUAUAUCAUAUUGCUUGAGUUUAUCCCUCUACAUCAUGUCAUCUUGCCUAAUGUGUUACUUUGUUCUUAUGAAUUUAAUACUCUAUAUGCAAGCUGGAUAGCGGUCAAUGUGUGGAGUAAUAGUAGUAAAUGCAGGCACGAGUCGGUCUACUUGUCGUGGACGUGAUGCCUUGAUACGUCUCCAACGUAUCUAUAAUUUUUUAUUGUUCCAUGCUAUUAUAUUACCCGUUUUGGAUGUUUAUGGACUUUACUUUACACUUUUAUAUUAUUUUUGGGACUAACCUACUAACCGGAGACCCAACCCGUAUUGCUGUUUUUUUUGCCUAUUUCAGUGUUUUGAAGAAAAGGAAUAUCAAACAGAGUCCAAACGGAAUGAAACCUUCAGGAGCGUGAGUUUUGGAACAAACGUGAUCCAAGGGACUUGGAGUGCAAGUCAAGAAGCAAUCGAGGCGGCCACCAGGGUGGAGGGCGCCCCCUAUCUCGUGGGCCCCUCGGGCGUCCACCGACCUACUUCUUCCUCCUAUAUAUACCCACGUACCACGAGAACAUCAAAGGCGACCACGAAAAACUAUUUCCACCACCGUAACCUUCUGUAUUCACGAGAUCCCAUCUUGGAGCCUUCGUCAUUGCUCCAUCGGAGAGGGAAUCAACCAUGGAGGGCUUCUACAUCAACACCAUAGCCUCUCCAAUUAGUUGUGAGUAGUUUACCACAGACCUUCGGGUCCAUAGUUAUUAGCUAGAUGGCUUCUUCUCUCUCUUUGAAUCUCAAUAUCAUGUUCUCCUCGAUCUUCUUGGAGAUCUAUACGGUGUAACUCUUUUUGCGAUGUGUUUGUCUCGAUCCGAUGAAUUGUGGGUUUAUGAUCAAGUUUAUCUAUGAGAAAUAUUUGAAUCUCCUCUGAAUUCUUUUAUGUGUGAUUAAGUUAUCUUUGCAAGUCUCUUCAAAUUAUCAGUUUGGUUUGGCCUACUAGAUUGAUCUUUCUUGCAAUGGGAGAAGUUCUUAGCUUUGGGUUCAAUCUUGCGGUGUCCUUUCCCAGUGACAGCAGGGGCAGCAAGGCAUGUAUUGUAUUGUUGUCAUCGAGGAUAAAAAGAUGGGGUUCAUAUCAUAUUGCAUGAGUUUAUCCCUCUACAUCAUGUCAUCUUUCUUAAUGCGUUACUCUGUUAUUUAUGAACUUAAUACUCUAGAUGCAUGCUGGAUAGCGGUCGAUGUGUGGAGUAAUAGUAGUAGAUGCAGGCAGGAGUCGGUCUACUUGUUAUGGACGUGAUGCCUAUAUACAUGAUCAUGCCUAGAUAAUCUCAUAAUUAUUUGCUUUUCUAUCAAUUGCUCGACAGUAAUUUGUUCACCCACCGUAAUACUUAUGCUAUCUUGAGAGAAGCCACUAGUGAAACCUAUGGCCCCCGGGUCUAUCUUUUAUCAUAUAAGCUUUCAAUCUACUUUUAUUUGCAUCUUUACUUUUCCAAUCUAUAUUAUAAAAUACCAAAAAUAUAUUUAUCUUAUCAUACUAUCUCUAUCAGAUCUCACUUUCGUAAGUGGCCGUGAAGGGAUUGACAACCCCGUUAUUGCGUUGGUUGCGAGUUCUUGUUUGUUUGUGUAGGUGCGUCGGACUUUUGAGGAGCCUCCUACUGGAUUGAUACCUUGGUUCUCAAAAACUGAGGGAAAUACUUACGCUACUAUUGUUGCAUCACCCUUUCCUCUUCAAAGAAAACCAACGCAAGCUCAAGACGUAGCAUGCCUAUAUACAUGAUCAUGCCUAGAUAUUCUCAUAACUAUGCACUUUUCUAUCAACUGCUCGACAGUAAUUUGUUCACCCGCCGUAAUAUUUAUGCUAUCUUGAGAGAAGCCACUAGUGAAACCUAUGGCCCCGGGUCUAUUUUCCAUCAUAUAAGUUUCCGAUCUACUUUAUUUAGCAAUCUUUACUUUUCAAUCUAUAUCAUAAAAAUACCAAAAAUAUUUAUCUUAUUAUUAUCUCUAUCAUAUCUCACUUUCGCAAGUGGCCGUGAAAAGAUUGACAACCCCUUUAUCGCGUUGGUUGCGAGGUUCUUGUUUGUUUAUGUAGGUACGAGGGACUUGCGUGUAGCCUCCUACUGGAUUGAUACCUUGGUUUUCAAAAGUUGAGGGAAAUACUUACGCUACUUUGCUGCAUCACCCUUUCCCGCUUCAAGGGAAAACCAACGCAGUGCUCAAGAGGUAGCAAGAAGGAUUUCUGGCGCCGUUGCCGGGGAGGUCUACGCACAAGUCAAGACAUACCAAGUACCCAUCACAAACUCUUCUCCUCGCAUUACAUUAUUUUCCAUUUGCCUCUUGUUUUCCUUUCCCCCACUUCACCCUUGCCGUUUUAUUCGCGCUCCCUUUCCCGUUCGCCUCUUUUUCCGCUUGCUUCUUGUGGUACUUGCUUUCACUAUGUCUGAAACUGGGGAGGUUAUCAUUGAUAAGGACAAUAGUAAUAACAUGGGAAACUUUGAUGCUUUUGAUGAUCCUACUGAAGAAACCACUAUCUUACAUACUAAAAGAUUUCGAAUCGGUAGUGGUAAUAUUAUUGGAAAAGGGGUUAUUCAAGAUUCUUUACUUGUGUUGGUGCUUUACCUUCUAUGGGUGGAUCUAUUCUUCAUAGAACUAGUAGUCUUGCGGAUGCUAUAUCCUUGCUUAUAGUUGAACUUGAAAGACAGUUUAUGCAUAUGCAUCCUUGCAUACAAAGGAUUUUUCUAGAAUUUUCCAAUAUUGAGCAUUCUUCUGUUAAGCGCGCAGCUACUAUCUUUUUGGCACAUGAGUUCAGAUUUAUAAUAAAAGAAGCCAGAGAAAUCUUUGCGCACUAUAGGGUGGACGCUGGUCGCCCUCCCAUUUAGGCGAUCCUUUUUAAUCAAGAAGACAUAAUGCGUUUACAAUCCUUAGAUCGUGUUGCUUUUAAUGAAAACCUUAGGAAAAAGGUUCCUACCGAUGUUCUAGUUGAUAGAAUCUCUGAACUUAAUGAUGAUUUUGCUAUUCAUAACAAUGGGUUGGGAUUUUCUCUUGAGCAAAGGCUCAUGACUUUUUGCCAAAAGAAUGCUUAUAAUGAUGAAUUGGUUGUGUAAUAUGAAGGGCCAAAGGAGGAACCCAUACCUCCCGAGCUUGAUCUUGGGGACUUUUGUCCCAUUAAAUUUAGCCCUUUUGAUUACUUUUGCUUGCCACAAAGAAAACUUGUUGUUGAACGUAGGGAAUAUGAGAUGAGUUUUCGUGAUUUACCUUAUCAUUACGGCAAUAAUUAGAUCUAUUCUCGCUUUUAUGCCUAGCUAGGGGCGUUAAACGAUAGCGCUUGUUGGGAGGCAACCCAAUUUUAUUUUUGUUCUUUACUUUUUGCUCCUGUUUAGUAUUAAAUAAUUCAUCUAGCCUCUGGUUAGAUGUGGUUUUAUGUUUUAGUUAGUGUUUGUGCCAAAUAGAACCUAUAGGAUCAUCUUGGGUGAUAGUUAAUUUGAUCUUGCUAAAAAACAGAAACUUUUGCGCACACGAGAAUAAUUUUAAUAAAUCACAGAAACAUGAUUUUGAGUUGAUUAUUUUUUAAGAAGAUUAAUAGACAAAUUUACUAGGACUUCCUAUUUUCGUAGGACUUUUAAGGUUCUAGAAGUAUUCGAAAGUUACAGAUUACUACAGACUGUUCUGUUUUUGACAGAUUCUGUUUUUUGUGUGUUGUUUGCUUAUUUUGAUGAAUCUAUGGCUAGUAUCGGGGGGUAUGAACCAUAGAUAAGUUGGAAUACUGCAGGUUUAACACCAAUAUAAAUAAAGAAUGAUUUCAUUACAGUACCUUAAAGUGGUGGUUUGCUUUUUUGCACUAACGGAGCUCAUGAGAUUUUUUGUUGAGUUUUGUGUUGUGAAGUUUUCAAGUUUUGGGUAAAGAUUUGAUGGAUUAUGGAAUAAGGAGUGGCAAGAGCCUAAGCUUGGGUAUGCUCAAGGCACCCCAAGAUAAAUUCAAGGACAACCAAAAGCCUAAGCUUGGGGAUGCCCCGGAAGGCAUCCCCUUGUCUUCAUCUAUCAGUAACUUUACUUGGAGCUAUAUUUUUAUUCACCACAUGAUAUGUGUUUUGCUUGGAGCGUCUUGAAUGAUAUGAGUCUUUGAUUUUUAGUUUACCACAAUCAUCCUUGCUGUACACACAUUUUGGGAGAGACACACAUGAAUCGGAAUUUAUUAGAAUACUCUAUGUGCUUCACUUAUAUCUUUUGAGCUAGAUAAUUUUGCUCUAGUGCUUCACUUAUAUCUUUUUAGAGCACGGCGGUGGUUUUAUUUUGUAGAAAUUAUUGAUCUCUCAUGCUUCACUUAUAUUAUUUUGAGAGUCUUUUAGAACAGCAUGGUAUUUGCUUUGGUUAUAAAAUUAGUCCUAAUAUGAUGGGCAUCCAAGUUGGGUAUAAUAAAAAUUGUCAUAGAAAGUGCAUGAAACACUAUAAGAAAUUUGAUACUUGAUAAUUGUUUUGAGAUAUAAAGGUGGUAAUGUUAGAGUCAUGCUAGUUGGGUAAUUAUGAAAUUGAGAAAUACUUGUGUUAAAGUUGGCAAGUCCCGUAGCAUGCACGUAUGGUAAACGUUGUGUGACAAAUGUGUUGCACGGGGUGUUCUUUUGAUUGCCUUCCUUAUGUGUGGAGGUCGGGAUCGCGCGAUGGUUAACUCCUACCAACCCUUCCCCUAGGAGCAUGCGUAGUAGUACUUUGCUUCGAGGGCUAAUAAACUUUUGCAAUAAGUAUAUGAGUUCUUUAUGACUAAUGUGAGCCCAUGGAUUAUACGCACUCUCACCCUUCCACCAUUGCUAGCCUCUCUUGUGCCGCGCAACUUUCGCCAGUAUCAUACACCCACCAUUUACCUUCCUCAAAACAGCCACCAUACCUACCUAUUAUGGAAUUUCUAUAGCCAUUCCAAGAUAUAUUGCCAUGCAACUCUCCACCGUUCCGUUUAUUAUGACACGCUCCAUCAUUGUCAUAUUGCUUUUGCAUGAUCAUGUAGUUGACAUCGUAUUUGUGGCAAAGCUACCGUUAUAAUUCUUUCAUACAUGUCACUCUUGAUUCAUUGCAUAUCCUGGUACACCGCUGGAGGCAUUCACAUAGAGUCAUAUUUUGUUCUAAGUAUUGACUUGUAAUUCUUGAGUUGUAAAUCAAUAAAAGUGUGAUGAUCUUCAUUAUUAGAGCAUUGUCCCAAGUGAGGAAAGGAUGAUGGAGACUAUGAUUCCCCCACAAGUCACUAUGAGACUCCGGACCUCAUGAUAAAUAAAAGAGGCCAAAGAAGCCCAAAUAAAAAAGAGAGGCCAAAGAAGCCCACCCAAAAAAAUGAGAGAAAAAGAGAGAAGGGACAUUGUUACUAUGCUUUUUCCAGACUUGUGCUUCAAAGUAGCACCAUGAUCCUCAUGGUAGAGUCUCCUAUGUUGUCACUUUCAUAUACUUGUGGGAAUUUUUCAUUAUAGAACUUGGCUUGUAUAUUACAAUGAUGGGCUUCCUCAAAAUGCCCUAGGUCUUUGUGAGUAAGCGAGUUGGAUGCACACCCACUUAGUUUCUUUUGUUGAGCUUUCACACAUUUAUAGCUCUAGUGCAUCUGUUGCAUGGCAAUCCCUACUCACUCACGUUGAUAUCUAUUAAUGGGCAUCUCCAUAGGCCGUUGAUACGCCUAGUCAAUGUGAGACUUUCUCCUUUUUUGUCUUCUCCACACAACCUCCAUCAUCAUAUUCUAUUCCACCCAUAGUGCUAUAUCCAUGGCUUACGCUCAUGUAUUGCGUGAGAGUUGAAAACGCUGAAGCGCGUUAAAAAGUAUGAACCAAUUGCUUGGCUGAAACCGGGGUUAUGCAUGAUGGGAGUAUUUUGUGUGACAAAAAUGAAGCAUAGCCUAACUAUAUGAUUUUGUAGGGAUAAGCUUUCUUUGGCUACAUUAUUUUGAUAAGACAUGAUUACUUGUUAGUAUGCUUAAAGUAUUACUAUUUUUAUGUUAAUAUGAACUUUUAUUUUGAAUCAUUUGGAUCUGAACAUUCAUGCCACAAUAAAGAAAAUUACAUUGAGAAAUAUGCUAGGUAGCAUUCCACAUCAAAAAUUCUGUUUUUAUCAUUUACCUACUCGAGGACGAGCAGGAAUUAAGCUUGGGGAUGCUUGAUACGUCUCCAAGGUAUCUAUAAUUUUUUAUUGUUCCAUGCUAUAUAUUACCCGUUUUGGAUAUUUAUGGGUUUUACUAUACACUUGUAUAUCAUUUUUUGGACUAACCUAUUAACCGGAGGCCCAGCCCAAAUUGUUGUUUUUGCCUAUUUCAGUGUUUCGCAGAAAAGGAAUAUCAAACGGAGUCCAAACGGAAUGAAACCUUCGGGAGAGUUAUUUUUAAAACAAACGCAAUCCAGGAGACUUGGAGUGGAUGUCAAGAAAAAAACAAGGCGGCCAUGAGGCAGGGAGGCGCGCCCUAGGGGGGUGGGCGCGCCCCCCACCCUCGUGGGCCCCUCGUGGCUCCUCUGACCGACUUUCUUCGCCUAUAUAUAUCUACAUACCCUGAAAACAUCCAGGAGCACCACGAAACCCUAUUUCCACAACCGCAACCUUCUGUACCCGUGAGAUCCCAUCUUGGAGCUUUUUCCGGCGCUCCGCCGGAGGGGGAAUCGAUCACGGGGGGCUUCUACAUCAACACCAUAGCCUCUCCGAUGAGUUGUGAGUAGUUUAUCACAGACCUUCGGGUCCAUAGUUAUUAGCUAGAUGGCUUCUUCUCUCUCUUGAAUCUCAAUACAAAGUUCUCCUCGAUCUUCUUGGAGAUCUAUUCGAUGUAAUUCUUUUUGCGAUGUGUUUGUGGAGAUCCAUGAAUUGUGGGUUUAUGAUCAAGUUUAUCCAUGAGAAAUAUUUGAAUCUCCUCUAAAUUCUUUUAUAUAUGAUUGGUUAUCUUUGCAAGUCUCUUCGAAUUAUCAGUUUGCUUUGGCCUACUAGAUUUAUCUUUUUUGCAAUGGGAGAAGUGCUUAGCUUUGGGUUCAAUCUUGCGGUGUCCUUUCCCAGUGACAGCAGGGGCAGCAAGGCACGUAUUGUAUUGUUGCCAUCGAGGAUAAAAAGAUGGGGUUUAUAUCAUAUUGCUUGAGUUUAUCCCUCUACAUUAUGUCAUCUUGCCUAAUGCGUUACUUUGUUCUUAUGAACUUAAUACUCUAGAUGCAUGCUGGAUAGCGGUCGAUAUGUGGAGUAAUAGUAGUAGAUGCAGGCAGCAAUCGGUCUACUUGUCGCGGACGUGAUGCCUAUAUACAUGAUCAUGCCUAGAUAUUCUCAUAACUAUGCACUUUUCUAUCAAUUGCUCGACAGUAAUUUGUUCACCACCGUAAUACGUAUGCUAUCUUGAGAGAAGCCACUAGUGAAACCUCUGGCCCACGGGUCUAUCUUUUAUCAUAUAAGCUUUCAAUCUACUUUUAUUUGCAUCUUUACUUUUCCAAUCUAUAUUAUAAAAAACCAAAAAUAUAUUUAUCUUAUCAUACUAUCUCUAUCAGAUCUCACUUUCGCAAGUGGCCGUGAAGGGAUUGACAACCCCUUUAGCGCAUUGGUUGCGAGGUUCUUGUUUGUUUGUGUAGGUACGAGGGACUUGCGCGUAGCCUCCUACUGGAUUAAUACCUUGGUUCUCAAAAGCUGAGGGAAAACUUACGCUACUUUGCUGCAUCACCCUUUCCUCUUCAAGGGAAAACCAACACAGGGCUCAAGUGGUAGCAAUGGGUUUUCCACUGAAUCUCACAUUCCAGGAUCCUAGCAUUUAUAGCAUGAAAUAUAAACUCUUAAUAAUGAACCUGGAAAUAUAAUAAUAUUAUAUUAUUGCCUCUAGGGCAUAUUUCCAAUAGUAUUCAACUUGCACUGAAGUCAAUAAUCUAGUUAGCACAUUUUUAUUUACACCAAUGGCAGUCUGGUGUUUGUCCAUACUCAGCUUGUGGUAUAGCCUUCAUCCCAUUGGAUCUUGAAAACUUCAUAUCCACGUGUAUCAUAUGCAUUUCAAUGCCUCUAUCAUGAUGGCUUUGUAUGUAUUGAAUCACUAGAAGGACCUAUGAUUCCUUGGACUGAGCUAUAGAACCACUAUUAAGUAUAGUGUUUCAUUGGCACAAUCAUCUAGAAAUCAUAACAAUCUCAUAAAUGAAAGUGUUAUUGAUCACUCUCCAUUGUUGCUUCUAAAGCAACAAUCUACUCAGCCCUCUGUUAUAGAUUUCACCACAGUAACCAACAACCCAACAAACACACUGCAAAAAACAUUACAUCGGAUAGAACUCCAAGAAGAUCGAGGAGAACAUUGUAUUGAAGAUCAAAGAGAGAAGAAGCCACUAGCUACUAGCUAUGGACUCGUAGGUCUGCGGUGAAUUGCUCACACAUCAUCGGAAGGCGGCACGGAUGAUGCAGAAGCCCUCAGUGAUCGAUUCCCCCUCCGGCGGAGUACCGGUAAAGCCCUCCAGAUGGAAUCGCGGAAGAAUAGAAGCUUGUGGUGGUGGAAAAAGUGUUUCGGAUGGCUCUCUGUUGGUUUGGGAAUAUUUGUGAAUUUAUAGGCUUGGAAUUAGGUCAAACGGAGUUGCGUGGGCCCAUAAGCUCAGGGGGCGCACUUUGUGAGCUCGUGGCUCUCUUGUAGCUCUUCUGGCCUCCUCCCGAACCUUCUAGGACCCCUUCUGGUCCAGAGAAAAUAACCAUAAUUCAUCGUAUUUGGACUUCGUUUGGUAUUGUUUUUCUGAAAAGCCAAAACAAGUAAAAAAUAGGAACUAGCACUGGGCAAUGGGUUAAUAGGUUAGUCCCAAAAGUGGUAUAAAAUAGCAUAAAAAUGCAUAUAAUCCAGGAUUGAUAAUAUAAUAGCAUGAAACAAUCAAAAGUUAUAGAUAUAUUGGAGACGUAUCAGCAUUCCCAAGCUUAAUUCCUGCUCGUCCUUGAGUAGGUAAAUGAGAAUAACAGAAUUUUUGUGUAUACAUGUAUUAUUUGUAGUGAGAUAUGUACAUGACAAAGAGCGAUACUACUGCCAGGAUCAGACCAAUGUACAUGACAUAAGAAAGAGGUGGCACAUCUCUGAAUGCAAGGUCCAUGGCAACAAGCAGACGCAAUGGAAAAGACAGAUUGUUUUGUCAUCUUUUGCAGCGCCAUCCUUUAGUAUGUCAGGGAGCAGCUAAGGAAUGAAAUCAUGCUCCAUUUUGGAUCAUAAGAUUUUAAUUUGACCAUAAGCUAAGCCUCCACCACACGAAAAGUGAUGAAAAUACAAAAUUUGUUAUGUGAUGCAAUACAAUGCAAAUCUUAUGUACUCCCUCUGUAAAGAAAUAUAAGAGCGUUUAGAUCAUUACUUUACACGUUACCAUCGUAAUCUCAAGCUUUGAAUUUAGUACUACUCAUUAAUCAAUUGUGUGAUCUUAAGAAAAUGCUAUACCUCUAAAAUGAACAACUAAAAGGUCAUGAGACACGUAGUGAUCUCCAAAUAAAUUGGUUGUUCUAGGGGAAAAGUGAUGAAAAGUGUUGUUCUAGGGGAAAAGUGAUGACAAGCAUGGAUUAUCUGUUUCGUCAUCUUGGGAGGGGGAGGGUCAUCCACAUGACCACAAGCCAAGCCCACACCCCACGUCAAGUGAUGCAAAUCCCAAUCAUGUCAUGUCAUGAUUUACAAUGCAAAUCUUCUUUAAAACUUUACACAUUGGCAUCACUAUCUUAAGCUUGGCAUUUGGUACUCCCUACGAUCCAUAUUUGUUGUCGCUCAAACGGAUGUAUCUAGCACUAAAAUACAUCUAGAUACAUCUGUUUCAGCGACAACUAAUAUGAAUCAAAGGGAAUACUACUAAUUAGUUGUGUGAUCUUAAUAAAACACCAUGCUUCUAAAAUGAACAGGUCACGAGGCGUGUACCAAUCUCCAGAUGAAUUUGAUGUUCUACAGAAUUCAUAUGUGCGGAAAGAUAAGACUGAAAACCGCACACUUACCCGGGAUAGGAUGGGAUAUUUUGAGAAAUAGAUAAGGAUUAGUUCAGGUUUCUCCCAUAUAUACGAAAUGACUGGACGAUGACUAAUUAAACGAGAGACAACAAACCACUUAUCUUCCUUUAUGACUCAAUUGAUCGAGAGCCUUCCCAAGUUGCUUUUGCGGUUUUGUUGGUCACAAUGCAGAUGCUUUGAACCUUUGCACAACCGUGGGCAUGUGGCUCCCGUUAAAUAGCCACAAGAUACCAUAAAAUUAGCACUUCCAAAGUUCCCAUUUACUCUCUCUUCCUCUCAAGUCUAACCAAAGCCCAACAAACCACCACCUCGGCCAUGGCAACCACCCUCGCCACCGACGUCCGCCUCUCCAUCGCGCACCAGACCCGCUUCGCCCUCCGUCUCGCCUCCACCAUCUCAUCCAACCCUAAGUCUGCUGCCAGCAAUGCCGCCUUCUCCCCGGUCUCCCUCUACUCCGCACUUAGCCUCCUCGCCGCUGGCGCGGGCAGUGCCACUCGGGACCAACUCGUCGCCACACUCGGGACAGGCAAGGUCGAGGGACUCCACGCGCUCGCCGAGCAGGUGGUCCAGUUUGUGCUCGCCGACGCGUCCUCCACUGGUGGUCCGCNNNNNNNNNNNNNNNNNNNNNNNNNNNNNNNNNNNNNNNNNNNNNNNNNNNNNNNNNNNNNNNNNNNNNNNNNNNNNNNNNNNNNNNNNNNNNNNNNNNNNNNNNNNNNNNNNNNNNNNNNNNNNNNNNNNNNNNNNNNNNNNNNNNNNNNNNNNNNNNNNNNNNNNNNNNNNNNNNNNNNNNNNNNNNNNNNNNNNNNNNNNNNNNNNNNNNNNNNNNNNNNNNNNNNNNNNNNNNNNNNNNNNNNNNNNNNNNNNNNNNNNNNNNNNNNAAUGUAAAAGAAUUUUUAACGGACAUAAUUAUGUACAUUUGAGAGAAACAAUGACAUGCUUAACUAACUACUUCAGCCGCCUGUACAUGUUGGCAUGCCACUGCUUCACUCAAAGUGUUUGUUUUCUGCUGAUGUAAUAUAGAGGUCUGUAUUAAUCUUAUACACAUUCUAGAUUUGUAAUUUAGUGGUUAUCGUAUACCACUGUUUUUUACACUAGAAGCUUCACCUUUGUAAGCAUAGUUCGCACCUGCUACCUUGAACUGUGAAUGAUUUUGCCUAUCCUGUUAGUCGGCAUGAUUGGAGAUAACUAGUCUGUUACUUUUCUGAGCAUACCUAAUCUUUUGGGAGUGUAAUUCUCAUACCGUGCUAUCUAGGGAUAUGAAGGCUGGGGAAUUUUCUGAUGUUUUAUACUUUAAUUACGCUCUUCAGCGAAGUGAGAUUAUAAUUUUGGGAGUAUUUCCUGGAAACUUUGUCUCCAACGUAAGAAGAUGUACAAAAAAAUCAGCUAAAGAUUAUAAUUUUGGGAAUAUUUCUGUAAAAGGUAUUGCAUAGUGGUGCUUCGAGAUGUUGUGAUGGCCAUUCAAAUUUGUAUGCUCAUAUGAAUUGUUUUUCUAUCAUACGUUGUUGUAUGUGCUGAUUUAUGUGUUUGAAAAUUUUACUAUAAAAAUGCUUUAUAAAAACACUAGUAUGCUGCUUUGCAUUCUUAGCACAACUAUUAUAUUUUGUUCUUUGAAAGAAUUUUCUAUUGGUUUGUUCAAAGGUUGGUGGCACAGCAGUACCGUCAAACUAUUUUCAUUACAUAAUUGACCUUUGUUUAUUUUUUCCAUGGCCCAGGCCGCUGAAGUUACUACUCAAGUGAAUUCAUGGGUAGAGAAAGUCACGAGCGGUCGCAUCAAGGACAUUCUCCCCCCAGGAUCUAUUGACAAUACCACUAAACUUGUUCUUGCCAAUGCCCUUUAUUUCAAAGGAGCUUGGACAGAGCAGUUUGAUUCAUAUGGAACAAAAAACGACUACUUCUACCUUCUUGAUGGGAGCUCAGUUCAAACACCAUUCAUGUCCAGCAUGGAUGACCAAUACCUUUUGUCUUCUGAUGGGUUGAAGGUACUUAAGCUACCUUACAAGCAAGGUGGGGACAAUAGGCAGUUCUUCAUGUAUAUCCUUCUUCCAGAAGCACCAGGUGGUCUCUCAAGCUUGGCCGAAAAAUUGAGUGCUGAACCAGACUUCCUGGAGCGGCAUAUCCCAAGGCAGAGGGUUGCACUUAGGCAAUUCAAGCUCCCCAAGUUCAAGAUAUCAUUUGGAAUUGAAGCAUCUGAUUUGCUCAAAUGUUUGGGCCUCCAGCUUCCCUUCGGCGAUGAAGCGGAUUUUUCGGAGAUGGUGGAUUCCCUAAUGCCACAAGGUCUUCGUGUCUCAUCUGUUUUCCACCAAGCGUUUGUGGAAGUGAACGAACAAGGAACUGAGGCUGCAGCAUCAACUGCUAUUAAAAUGGUCCUGCAACAGGCAAGGCCGCCCUCGGUCAUGGAUUUCAUCGC
This 31149-nucleotide long non-coding RNA is filed under the name Triticum aestivum (bread wheat). RNAcentral's name for it is "long non-coding RNA (TAES_LNC007790)". Lineage: Eukaryota; Viridiplantae; Streptophyta; Magnoliopsida; Poales; Poaceae. The record is from RNAcentral.